CCACGCAGUAAACGAUGAUAACUCGUUGUCGGCGAUACACAGUCGGUGACCAAGCGAAAGCGAUAAGUUAUCCACCUGGGGAGUACGACCGCAAGGUUGAAACUCAAAGGAAUUGACGGGGGCCCGCACAAGCGGAGGAACAUGUGGUUUAAUUCGAUGAUACGCGAGGAACCUUACCCGGGCUUGAAAGUUAGUGACCGCCUCUGAAAGGAGGCUUCUCUUCGGAGCACGAAACUAGGUGCUGCAUGGUUGU
Molecule: ribosomal RNA, 253 nt
Filed under: uncultured bacterium
Lineage: Bacteria
Description: partial 16S ribosomal RNA
Rfam family: Bacterial small subunit ribosomal RNA
Source: RNAcentral